AAGAGCCGCUGGCGCCUGCGCGGUGGCGCCGCCGCCCUGCAGCUUUCCGCCGGGAUGGAGGCGGCGGCGCGGCGGCGGCCGCGGGAGCCGGAGCGGCCGGAACGGGAGCGGGAGCGGGAGCAGGACGAUGGUGGGCGGGUGAUGUCACGGUCCCUGUCGGGACAGUCCUACUGGCUGGACCUGUGGCUCUUUAUCCUCUUCGAUCUGGCGCUUUUCCUGCUUAUCUACUUGCUGCCCUGAGGGCGCGGCCCAGGGCCAGGGCCGGCGGGGGAAUUCUCACCUAUUUCGCACCUUCUGAACACAGGCAGUGGAAGAGCGGGAGCGUCCGUGCGGGAUAAGCAGCGGGGAACACGACUCCACUUGAGGAGGCACGGUUUUGUACUGUACCCUGAUCCGUCUCUGUGUCACAAGUGUCACUGCUCGGGUCCUGCCGGUGUCCUGGGCUGUGCCUUAGAGCUCCCGCAGCACAGGCUGAGCGUGCCUUGUGAUCGUGCCUGGGGGUUUGUUGGGCAGAAAUGGAAGUAUGCGCUGAAAGGACACCCUGCAGAGGGGCUGAGAGUAAAACCCAGCUCUCGUGUACACUGAAGAUAUGGCUCAGACCUGUUCCCUCAACAGAUGAAGCUUGGCCAGCUGUUCUGCUUCCAAAAAGCUAAUUCUGAUGGGUUGAUGCUGGUUGGGUUUCUUAUUAUACCUUUCUCUGUUUUUUCUUUCUUUACCUUCAGCAGUUACUGAGCACUCUCAGACUCAGUAUUUAUUGAUAUAAAUAUAUACAUAUAUAAACAUGUCAGUGUUUAACCCAGCAGCAGUGUCCUGUCCUCACUUACUGAUUAAGAUAAAUCAGGUUCUGAUUGCCUUGCUGAAACUGUGAAGGAGGAGCUUACAAGAGCAGCCUUGAGUCACUGGCAGAUGACACAUAAAGAUCCCUCCUCCUCCUCCUCACCACCCAUGGAUGGUAUAAGUAGACAGUGACAGGUAAUUAAAAGGUUUCAACAUCAAUUUCCUCUGUCUCACUAGAAGGAGACUUUCAAACUUGUAUUAAAGGGAGGAGUCUCUUGCAGUCUUUGGAGAAGGAAACAGAAGCUGAGCACAUGGAGUGAGCUUUUUGCCAGGGCUGGGUUGGGGGAAGACAGUUUGCAAGCUUUGGAUGAAGGGUGUUCAGUUUACUUUAGCAUUUUUCCCUUGGGAAUACAAAUUUCUAUUUCUGAGAAGUACAAUCCAUGCUUGGUGGCUGUUUUGUUUGUUUUUUUUUUUCAGAAGUACAUGUAACAAAAUAACUGGAUUGCAGAGACUUGGAACCACAGAGUGGUUCAGUGUCUUCCCACACAAUAAAUGAAAAUGGACCAGGAUGAGGUUAAAUAGGAUUGGGGAUGCAAAAAUAGACAGCUGCUCUUUCCUUUUAUUUUUAUUCCAUUGUGAAGGCAGCUUUGCUCUUGGCAGUGGUUUGUUUCAUGUGUCAGCCCUGUGCUGUAAGAACAGAGCUGCUGUGCCCUGCUGGCAUUUAUCAUCGUGGCAGCUGGCACCUGUGAGAGCAGAGUGGGUUCAGGGAUCUUGACUCAAGGUGCACAGGAACCCUGCAUUCUCACAAACACCACACUGGCCAUUCCAGUUUUUCAAUGAGGCCAUUACAGACAAGCUCACUACCUUCACUACCUUUUUUUAACCCCCUUCAGGCAUGAUAUCACAAGUGAAAGCCCCAGUGAACUAAAAGACUGUAAUGUUACUCCAUUUAUUUUUGAUAAGGAAGACAGGUGAGAUUUAAAGGCUUAGUAAAUAGAAUUUCAAGAUAUCUUCAACUGAUUUAGUUUUUUCCUUCAACCAGAUCUGACAUUAAAGGUUUUGCUUAUCUAGGAAGAGUUAAGAGCUAACAAAGUGCUGCUGUGGGCUCCAGCUGUUCCAUAGGCACAUGGAGCUCCUAAGUACAGAGAUCCAGGUAAAUUCUGCUUAUCCCUAGUAAAGAUAGUAAGGUAGAUUGUGUAUCUGUCAAUCACUUGUCACCAGGUCUGUGGGAUUAUGGUAUAAAAAUGGCUUUAUGCAUUUCAUAGCUGUUUGAAAAGUUUAAACUAUUUAAUAGCUUUAUGAACAAAUACUUCAGAACAUGAAUUUUACUGUUCAGAAAAGAUAACCAAACCACCAUCUCACCAAAAACUUUCAACCAUCAGUUAGCAGCAUUAUGUGUUGUGUUAAAAAUGUAGUUCUGGAAAGCCAACCUUUUUUCUUAAACACGAAACACAAAAAGAACAGACAACAAAGAUUUUAAAUUUUUAUCUUGAUGUUUUGAACAAGUAGAACUUUGCAAGUAAAUAAUUCUAAAGACUGAAAAAUAUAUUAAUUACAAGACUCGUUAAUAUCUUUACUGUUACAAAAAUUCUCUAGGCUCUUAUACAAAUCUAUAGCUGGGGGGACAUUUAUAAAAAAAUAAAUAGGCACCCUAGGUAAGUUCAAACGAGUUAUCACAUAUUAGUUAGCAAAUAUUACAUACAUACAUACAUGGAGUGCAGAGGCAAAUAUAAAAAUGAAGGUGCCUUGAUUAGCUGUCUGUUUAACCAUGAAAUAGCUGGUAAACGUGGGUCACAGAGGAAACUGUCGGGUGAGAUUGCUCCAAGCUAAGCAAGGAAACUGAAGUACACCUAAGUUACUGCAGCUGUUCAGAGAGGAGUGCACCAGUUGUGCUUACUGGGAGCAGAGUUCAUUGGUAUCAGUCAGAGGCAUUCAUAUUGCUUGUGGUACACAAGUAUCAACAUUGCUAUGCAUGUUUAAAAAUAAGUGUUCUAACAUCAUUCACAGUUGUUGCUGUGCUAUCCAUACAUAAAAAUACUGUCAUUUCAAAUACAAGAUUUUUUUUUGUUUUUUGAAAAACAUAAUUUUACAAAUUAUACAUUAUUUACAAAUUCCAAUAAUCAUGGUUUUUACAUAGGUAUUAGAGGACAGUUGUACUUAACUGGCUAUGUAUAUUGUGUAACAUGGCUAGAUGAACUAGAAAAGUUUGAUUUACAGGUUCUGAAAUCUCUCUUAAAAAUAUUACAAUAGGAAUCACCCAAGUUCUUACAUUUUUAGUGUUCUUCUGUAGUCAAUUUUCCUACAAAAGGAUCUUUGAUUAUGUUGCUGUUUAUUAGCAGCCAUACAGAAACAUGCAUAGCAUUUUCACUAUAAAUUCUAGAAUUCAUUUUUUCCCCCAAGUGCUACAACAGAUUUUGAUCAAGAAGGUAGAAAGGUUAAUCUGAGAUACCUGGUUUGUUGCAUAUAUAUAAUGUUCCAGUUCUACUGUAAGGUACGUGUUACUUAAAAGAAAAAAAAACCUGACCUUGCCACAGAAUAACCAAAGCUACUGUUUAAAUGUUUGCCUUGGAUAAUUGUGCUAAACAAUUGCCAUCAUUUGGUUGAAGCACUAAACACAUGUACAUAAGGUUAUAAACAUGAAAAAAAAAAGCUUUUCUGAUGUAUUAUUUUCAUAAUAAAAGGCAUUGAUGUUUAGGUGUAAUCAGCAGCACCCCAAGUUAACACUCCAAUGUGAAUAAUGGAAAAAUUUUACCUGUUUAGGUUGUGCCAGGCUUUGCUAUGCUGCCUCAGCACUCAGUAGAUGGUUCUGUGCAUUGAUUUAACUAACCAGAUAAAAGCCAAAUAAAUCUUCCUCCUUGUUACUGAGAGAAGUCAGGUUAACAAAAGACAAGGUAAAUUCCAGAGCUGCCAAAACUGGAUACAGAGUGACAGAGCAGAGAAGGAGGAAGCUCUUCUUUCCAUGCCCCCUUAGCCACCAGCGUGGCUGCACAUUCAGCCUGACCUGCCAAUGCAGACCAUAUCCAUGUAUAGGACUGAUCCAAAUGGGAAAACAUGUUAGUAAAAAAAAAAUUCGAGAAAAAAAAUCAAAUGUGUGAUCCCCAUGAACCAAAAGGUCAAAGCUGGAAAAAAGGGGGAGUUUAAUAAAUAGCAGCAUUGACUUUGCAUGCAAUUGUAGGAUAAGUCAGAACUGAAAGUAAGUACUUCUAAAAUGUUACAAAAUUCAUCUCUCAUACUUGCAUAACUCUAUUUAAAAUUAGCAUCCUAUUCUGUUAUACUGGUUUGUAACUUGUUAAGUUAAAUUUAAUAAGUUAAAGUAUACAGCUUAAAGGAUGAACAAAUCUGAUAAAUGUGUUUAAAAACGUACACUAACAGAGCAGAGGUAUUAAUAGGAAAGCAUUACUGCAGUUUACUUCAAUUCCCUUUGAAAGUCUAAUUUAACACUUACAAACCAAAACGGUUUUUAAAGGAGUAUUAUUAUUAAGGCUUUUCAAAUAAAAAAUAAAUCCUCUGGGUAAACUUGCAUUAAAGACACUUGAAGGUUUGUGAAAGCACAGACUGGGAGACAUGGCUUGAAAAAACCAUGUCACCUCCUGCUACCUCUGAGGAUAAAUACUGCUCUGUUAUGACUUCAUGUACUGCAUUAGUUGUGGUAGCAUGCUUAUCCCUUUUGUUAGUGUAAGAACAGUGACCACAGUCUGAAGGAGCACUUCUCACACUGCAGCUAGCCACAUCUCGCAGAGUUAGUAACAUCCAGCUGAUCCUGCUGCUGCAGGGUGUGCACGCCCCAAGGGACCACACGGAAUACAAACUGAAGAGGACAAGCUGAGUAACAGAGGACAGCCAUGCACGGUUAAAACCAGACGCCGGCUCGAUUGGGAAUUUUGGCUCUACGUUCUCUGCAAACCUAAAUAUGGGACACACGAGCCCUGCUCAGCUGGAGCCCGGCAUCCUUAUCAAUGAGUCAUUAAGAGUGAGCAAUAAAUGAAAGGUAAUUGUGUUCUGACAUGUAAA
Long non-coding RNA from Passer domesticus (house sparrow), 4788 nucleotides. RefSeq lists it as uncharacterized. NCBI's taxonomy places the organism in Eukaryota, Metazoa, Chordata, Aves, Passeriformes, Passeridae. The transcript is spliced from 3 exons. The record is from RefSeq and is a predicted model, not a curated record.